Molecule: long non-coding RNA, 489 nt
Organism: Culex quinquefasciatus (southern house mosquito)
Lineage: Eukaryota; Metazoa; Arthropoda; Insecta; Diptera; Culicidae
Exons: 2
Source: RefSeq, a predicted model, not a curated record
UCGUUUGGCAAGGUCGGCCAUGUUUGUAAACAUAAGAAAACGGAGAUCGUGAGACUCGGAACCUUUUCGGAGCGUUCUGAGAAAGAUUCUUGGCCGGAAAAGGCAGGUGGGGCUGUUUGAAGACGUUUACUAAGAUUCCCCAAAAUCAUUCGCAGCUGUCGCUUCUCCCGGACACGCAUCGCAACGGCAGCGGAGAAGAAUCGGCAAUCAGCAUCAGCACCAUGGUUAAGGCCGUUUCUAGCCGUACAAAUGCCAGGAUUGUGAAAGUUCCUGAAGAAGUUUUAAAACCGUGCUGGGGGAAGUGACAAAAGUGAUCAUCACAACCGGCUAGCCGCUGCUGAAGGAUUUGUAGGGAAAAUCAGUGAAAAGUAGAGAUUGUGAAGGUAAAAGAAUUUAUAUUUGUGCAAAGUGUCGAAAAAUGUAGUGUUUGUUGAAAAUCUAUGCAGUUUUUGUAAAAUUAAACGAAUAAAAUAUUUACUUUCUCUUGCA